RNAcentral lists this ribosomal RNA (1779 nucleotides) under human gut metagenome. RNAcentral describes it as "bacterial LSU rRNA". It matches the Rfam family "Bacterial large subunit ribosomal RNA", at positions 1059 to 2925 of the family's 2925-position model. The record is from RNAcentral.
UUAAGUGGAAAAGGAUGUGGAAUUGCACAGACAACCAGGAUGUUGGCUUAGAAGCAGCCACUCAUUAAAAGAGUGCGUAAUAGCUCACUGGUCGAGUGACUCUGCGCCGAAAAUUUAACGGGGCUAAACUAUACACCGAAGCUUGGGAUACAUCUAAUGUAUGGUAGGAGAGCGUUCUGUAUGGGGAGAAGUCGUAGCGAAAGCGGCGGUGGACUAUACAGAAGUGAGAAUGCCGGAAUAAGUAGCGAGAAUUAAGUGAGAAUCUUAAUGGCCGAAAGUCUAAGGUUUUUGGAGGAAGGUUCGUCCGCUCCAAGUAAGUCGGGAGCUAAGGUCAGGCCGAAAGGCGUAGCCGAUGCACAUACGGUUGAUAUUCCGUAACCAUCUGUAAUUUAAGCAAAGGGACACUUCAAAAGGGUGUGACCCGGGCGUUGGUUGACCCGGGCGUAAGGGACCGAAAUUAGAGUAGGGAAGCACACUUAGCUGAAGGCGAGAAAAGCUUUGCGUAUAGAAACAGAUGCCCGUACCGCAAACCGACACAGGUGGACAGGAAGAGAAUUCUAAGGCCAGCGGGAGAAGGGUAGUUAAGGAACUCGGCAAAUUGACUCCGUAACUUCGGAAUAAGGAGUGCUCGAAAGAGCCGCAGAGAAUAGGCCCAGGCGACUGUUUAGCAAAAACACAGGUCUCUGCCAAAUCGAAAGAUGAAGUAUAGGGGCUGACACCUGCCCGGUGCCGGAAGGUUAAGAGGAGGAGUGAGAGCUCCGAAUUGAAGCCCCGGUAAACGGCGGCCGUAACUAUAACGGUCCUAAGGUAGCGAAAUUCCUUGUCGGGUAAGUUCCGACCCGCACGAAUGGUGUAACGAUCUGGGCACUGUCUCAACUACCCACCCGGCGAAAUUGUAGUACCGGUGAAGAUGCCGGUUACCUGCGGCAAGACGGAAAGACCCCAUGGAGCUUUACUGUAGCCUGAUAUUGGGUUUCGGAAAUCUAUGUACAGGAUAGGCGGGAGACUAGGAAACAUGAGCGUCAGCUUGUGUGGAGUCGAUGUUGGGAUACCGCCCUUAGGUUUCUGGAAUUCUAACCUGCGGCCGUGAAUCCGGUCGGGGGACAUUGUCAGGUGGGCAGUUUGACUGGGGCGGUCGCCUCCGAAAAGGUAACGGAGGCGCUCAAAGGUUAGCUCAGCACGGACGGAAACCGUGCCUCUGAGUGUAAACGCAAAAGCUAGCCUAACUGCGAGGGUGACGGCCCGAGCAGUAACGAAAGUUGGAGUUAGUGAUCCGGCGGUAUGUGAAUGGAAAUGCCGUCGCUCAACGGAUAAAAGCUACCCUGGGGAUAACAGGCUGAUCUCCCCCAAGAGUCCACAUCGACGGGGAGGUUUGGCACCUCGAUGUCGGCUCAUCACAUCCUGGGGCUGUAUUCGGUCCCAAGGGUUCGGCUGUUCGCCGAUUAAAGUGGUACGCGAGCUGGGUUCAGAACGUCGCGAGACAGUUCGGUCCCUAUCUGUCGUGGGCGCAGGAUAUUUGAGGAGCUCUGUCCUUAGUACGAGAGGACCGGGAUGGACGUACCUCUGGUGCACCAGUUGUCAUGCCAAUGGCACGGCUGGGCAGCUAUGUACGGAACGGAUAAACGCUGAAAGCAUCUAAGCGUGAAGCCGACUCCAAGAUUAGAUAUCCCAUCGUAUAACGAGUAAGACCCCUUGAAGACUACGAGGUUGAUAGGCUGCGUGUGUAAGUGCCGUGAGGCAUUCAGCUUGGCAGUACUAAUAGGUCGAGGGCUUGACCAC